CUCAGAAGUGCACCCCACAGACUGCUCAUGAAGUAAGAUGAUUUUGAGGAUGUCGAGCUCUUGAUCCAGGGCCCAAGGCAUCGAGAAGGCAAUUAGUGCUUUACACAGAAUGUCUGAGCAGGAGGUCAUCAUGCUCACCUUCCUAGUCUACAGAGGACAUGAAACCAGGAAAGGACUAUGGGCGGUUGGAGGAGAGAGGAGGAGAUGCACCUAAUCAUCACCAAUCCCUGGUUCUCCCCUAAUGUGCGCAGGAACGAUACCCUGGGCUGUGAGUGCCGAAGCAUUUGCUGCUGGCUAGCAUUGAAUGAGAUUCUGCCACAGUUGCCUUCUCUCGGAGGAGGAAUCAUUACACAGCCGCCAUGUGGAAUCCCGUGCUGACGCCUAGAGAGGAGAGGCCCUGCAGGAUCACCCGGCUCCAAAGGAAAUCUGCAAAAGAGAGAGCCAGCCUCCAGUUUUGUGCAGUCUCUGAGUUAGCUGGCGGUGUGGUAGUGGCAGGAUAACCUGACCUGGGAUGACUCAUGCAGAAUAAAGAAGUGCAGAGCAACCCAGCUUGCUGUGACUAACACGCUCAGCCUCAGGAUGCUAGCCUCUAGGUCUUCUUCCAAAUGCACAUAUACCUGAGUGUCUGUCUCCAGAGAACCAGAGUCAGAGCCACAGCAGAGCACUGCAAGAGUCCUUCAAGCACUUUUGUCUCUUCCUGACAGAAAUCUUGGCCAGUUUUCCACACACCUUCCAGCUCCUGUGCUGAAGUUGGGCAGGGGUGAAACUCUGGCCACAGUGCUUUCUUCAGUCCUUUUCUCUCAAAAAGCAACUGUUCCUGGGAGAAGGAACACCCCGUCACCUGCUGGAGUACACUGUGACAUCUGUGUGCCACUUCUCUCUCACACUACUCACAGAUAUUCAAGCCAGAGAGAUAGAGGGAGCAAGAGAAAAAGACACACAAACUAAAGGAUGGAGCUGGGUCACAUGGCCCUUGGGUCACAUGGCUCAGGCACACUGGGACCAGGCAUCUUCAUCACACCUACAUCGUUACAAAUCACUAAUGAGCACCUGUGCAGCAAAAGCUUCUAUACCAGGUGCCAGUGAAAUUCCUGCCCUCAAAGAAUCUGUUUUCAAGGGAGAACUAGGGCCUAUUGCCAUGCAAAAAAAAAAAAAUGAAAACAAAUUUCAGCUCAGGAUAAGGAGUGAGAGCUCAGGGAACAGAGGCAGGGUGAGCUCUGAUCCUGGCUGUUGAGAGAGUCUUCUCCCCAUCAACCUCACCUCUCUCGGUUUUUCCUGCCUUUACCCAGGGACACAGAGGGCAGCCCGUGAUUCCGGGUACCUUGGAAGGCCGCCGUUAUGGUUUAUGUCUAGAUGUCCCCCAAGGGGCCCAUGUGCUCAUAGGUGGUACUUUUAAAGGUAUUAAAUCAGAGGGCCACUGUGACUAGAAGUGAUGUUAGGACGCGUGAUCUAGUUGGAAGAGGCGGUCACUGGGGGGUGACCUGGAGGGUAUAUAUGCCUCUAGCUGCCCCUUCACACUCUGCUCCCCAGCUGCCAUGACAGCAUCACCUGAACAGCUUUCCUUCUCUGCCUUGGACUCACCCAAUUAUGGACUAAAAACUUGAGACAAAAUAAACCUCUCCUGAGCUUCAGCUGUCAUGUAUUUUGUUCCAAUGAAGAGGAAAGUGUCCAACAACUCCCACAAAGAGGAGCACACAGUACUGCUCAGUGCUGGCCCCUACCUCCCCUAAGUCCUGGACACUUUGAUUGCAUGGAAGUUCUCCUCACACUGCACUGGACGCUCACCACCCUGGAGCACACAUCUCUCCCAGCCCCUGAGCUUCCUCCCACCCCUCACACUGAGCCUCUUUCUGUUCAUUCCCACUCAGCUUCCCAGCUGAAAUACCCUCCAUCUGGGGAACUGAGUUAAGAGUUAACAGCUCCCUUCUCCCACUCCUGCACCUCUAAGUCUUUUUCCCAAGGCUUCCUUAUCUACUUUAAUUGUUGGAAUCAGUUGCUCACAAGUCUGUUUGCCUUAUUGGGCAGAAAGCUUCCUGCGGGCAGGCAGAAACCAGAUAUUACUGUACUCUGUAUCCUAGAUCCUUGCCACAUGUUAAGGAUCUGUGCAGUGGCAGCCCCAGGGGCUUGUGAGGAAGGCAAGAACUUGCUCAGAGCCACCAAUUCAGAGUCUCUGAUUUAAUAAAGCCUCUGGCAGCAUGCUAUUCACAAUAAAGUGUAAUUCCCUCCACUUAAUGACCCAAACAGCGUAACACUGGUUUCCACAAACACAUCCCUUACUUUUCUACUGUAAAUUUUUACUUUAGUGUAAUAGUAACCAGCUGUGCAUCUCAGUAGCUGCACCUGAGGGACACGGGAAGUAGUCUUUGUGUUUACCCACUCGAUACAAUGAAAGACAAGAUGUAUGCAUGUGUGCAAAAGUGUCAAACCAGGAUUUUCACAAAUAUUAUGUUCCAUCUAACAGGUUUGGCAUAUAUUUACCUAUCACAGAAGAUUCAAUAUACCUACACCAUUCUAGGACUGAUUUUUUUAAAAAAUUUGCUUGUAGAAGUAGCCUGAUUCAGUACAAUGGAACAUAAAAAAACAAAUUUGCAAGUUUUGGAGGAGGUCAAAAUGAAUCACCAGAUUACUCAUACAUAAAUGAUGAUUGUCAUUCAUGGUAAAAUUCAGGUUCACAUAACAGAAAAAUAAUGUGGGUGGAUGAUGAUGAUGAUGAUGGUGAUGUGAUGCUGGCUUUGAUAUUGGCCAUGUGAAUUAAAGUUCCUGUGACAGUGAAAUGGAGCAAGGAUCAACUGAUGCAGACAAAGAGAAGACAGACUUCCUUGAUUCAACUGACAAAGAAUGUGAGCAUGUGAAUAUAUAUUUGACUAGCUCACUUUGCUCACUAUAUGUGAGCAAUGUGAACAUAUAUUUGACUAGCCAAAAUGUUGCUAGAGGAUCACACAACCAAAUGGAACAAUCCAAUAUUAAAACUAGGUCCAAAAGUAUAGUGAGGGUGAUGGCAGAGGUGAAACUUAUUGGACAGAAUUCCAGCACUUCUAUUUGAUGUUGGAAAUUGUAACAGACAAAAUGCUACAAUGUGUGAAAUACAUGAAGGUUGAAAUACAAAUAAAACAUUCUGUAUGCACCAAUAUCCAAAUUCAAAAACGUAUUUAUUAUGACGCCUCAUGAGCUGAACUGAAAGGGUUCACAGUUCUGCUGUAAUUAGCAAGAAUUUUUCAUGGUAAUCACAGGAAUGUAAAAGAUUAUGGAAAAAGGAUAGGUCAAAAUAUAACAUAAAAUUUAUGUCUUUGUGUAUGUGAUAAUUUAUCCUGGAACUCAGCCAACAGGUCUUUGCUUUUGCUUCCAUCUCCCAAACUAAUUAGAUUUUGACAUUUGACAAUUGAUUUAUCAAUUUCCAAUUGUUGUUACAUUUGCUAACAAAGCACACGUUGACCACAGUAGAAAAUGUACAUGGUAACAAAGCAGAAAUUCCCAAUGAAAUGGGGCAAUUUCAAAACAGAAAAUUGUAUAGUACAAUCCUUGGAUUUCAGAAAGAUUUACAUCCACCUUAUAUAUGGCAAAGAAAAACAAAGUGGUACUGCUGAAGUAGUUAGCAUGGCACCAUGAUGAGAAUACCAAAACCUCAACAAAAUGGAAGCCUGAGACAGAAACUUUCUACAAGACCAAAGGCGGACUAGGUGUUGUUAAAUUAUGCAGCAAUUGUGUCACUUGGAACCCAAAGCAUUGGCCAAAGGCUAUGUUUUACGUGAUCUUAAACAUGCGUGGCAUAAAUUUUGAUAGUUUGCAAAGAAAAAAAUAAGUGCACAAUAUCAUGGAGAAACUUUCUUAAAGGAUUAGGACUGGAACUAGUAAGAGAUUAUUUACAGCAGAGGGGAAACAAAUGUUUCCGCUCAAGGAACUAUGCCAAAAAAUUGUGUGUCACACUGGUGAGCUGACAGGUGAACAGGCAGGCACAGCAUCUCAAGACCUAUUACAACAAGAGGAAAAUCAAAAGUAUUUCAACUGUGCCCUAAGAGAAAGGACAGGGAAAAAAAACAUAUAUGACAUCAGUGUAAUCAAUACUUGUGUAUGAAACAUGCAAAUUUCAUGUCAGGACUGCAUUGGGUAUGACAAUUGCAAAGAUUAUCUUUAUUUGCAGAGUUCUAUUGGUAUUUUCAUUGUAGUUCAUCAUUGUCUUUCUGAUAUUAUCUCUUAGGUUUUGGAACCAAGUGAACAACUGAUGUGACAAUGUUGAUGUCUAUUCUAAGCACUCAUUACACAUUCGAUAUUUUAUUUGACUGAUACCUUAUUUCCCUGCUAAGUACACACUGUAUAGCACUGUAGGAAAUUCCUGACAAACAGGAAGAAAAGAGAGAAGACAAGAAUGGCCCCCUGCAUAGCAAAGGAAAGCUAAACACAUAUGCCGUCAGUGCAUGCAUGACAUGUUCACAGUACACGCAGAUGUCAUGUAUGAAGACUGCCUUGGAUGUGACAGUCAAAGCAAAGAUUAUUUCUGUGGCAGACUUUUAUUUGUCUUUACAUUGCAGCUCACACAAGCUUUUGUUUCUUAGGUUUUGUAAGCAAGUAUACAGCUGAUGUGAAAAUGUUGAUGUUUAUUCUAAAUGCACCAUACAUAUUAAGAACUUAAUGCUUUAUUUUAUUGAUAUUUUACGUUUCCAUUAAUCACACACUGCAAAAUAUAAGGACCUUCUGGCCAAAUAGCAAGACUAGCAAGAUAUCAAGUGUGUCCUACAGAAGGCCAAGAAAAAAAAAAUACAUGUGCUGGCAGCGUAAGCAAUUCGUGUGUUUGGAACAAGCUGCUGUCAUGUGUGAAGAUUGCCUUCAGUGUGAUAAUUGAAAGUAAAUAUUACUUUUUGUAGAGUUCUAUUGACAUUUUUAUUAUAGUUCAUACAAAUUCCUGUUGUUCUUCUUUAGAUUUUGUACAUCAGACACCAACUAAUGUUUAAAAUUUUGAUGCUUGCUUGUAAACAUUCAAUAAGUAGUGGUAAGAAUGUAAUAGUUUAUUUUUUUUUAUUUUUCUCAUUAGGCAAUCAUUGUUUAAAAUAAUCAAACCCAUAAAACUUAAACUGAUAAUUCAUCAGUAGAAAUAUUCUGAAGAAUAAACCAGGUUUGACACACCCAA
Molecule: long non-coding RNA, 5122 nt
Organism: Cavia porcellus (domestic guinea pig)
Lineage: Eukaryota; Metazoa; Chordata; Mammalia; Rodentia; Caviidae
Exons: 2
Source: RefSeq, a predicted model, not a curated record